UGGACUUGACAUGGUGCUGCAAGCGCACGGAAACGUGUGACCUUCGAGGGUGCACCACAGAUGCUGCAUGGCUGUCGUCAGCUCGUGUCGUGAGAUGUUGGGUUAAGUCCCGCAACGAGCGCAACCCUUGCCCUUAGUUGCCAGCGGGUAAUGCCGGGGACUCUAAGGGGACUGCCGGGGACAACUCGGAGGAAGGUGGGGAUGACGUAGCUAAGCCUUC
RNAcentral lists this unclassified non-coding RNA (220 nucleotides) under uncultured bacterium. Its description in RNAcentral is "contains 16S-23S intergenic spacer region". It matches the Rfam family "Bacterial small subunit ribosomal RNA", at positions 976 to 1194 of the family's 1533-position model. The record is from RNAcentral.